UAGGGAAUCUUCCGCAAUGGACGAAAGUCUGACGGAGCAACGCCGCGUGAGUGAAGAAGGCUUUCGGGUCGUAAAACUCUGUUGUUAGGGAAGAAAAAAUGUAUAGUAACUAUAUACAAAAGAGACGGUACCUAACCAGAAAGCCACGGCUAACUACGUGCCAGCAGCCGCGGUAAUACGUAGGCGGCAAGCGUUGUCCGGAAUUAUUGGGCGUAAAGCGCGCGCAGGUGGUUUAGAAAGUCUGAUGUGAAAGCCCACGGCUCAACCGUGGAGGGUCAUUGGAAACUAAUAAACUUGAGUGCAGGAGAGAAAAGUGGAAUUCCUAGUGUAGCGGUGAAAUGCGUAGAGAUUAGGAGGAACACCGGUGGCGAAAGCGGCUUUUUGGCCUGCAACUGACACUGAGGCGCGAAAGCGUGGGGAGCAAACAGG
This 429-nucleotide ribosomal RNA is filed under the name Verrucomicrobiota bacterium. RNAcentral's name for it is "Verrucomicrobia bacterium partial 16S ribosomal RNA". It matches the Rfam family "Bacterial small subunit ribosomal RNA", at positions 355 to 776 of the family's 1533-position model. Lineage: Bacteria; Pseudomonadati; Verrucomicrobiota. The record is from RNAcentral.